GGCCCCAUAGUGUAGUGGUUAGCACGUCUGCUUUACAUGCAGAAGGUCCUGGGUUUGCGCCCUAGGUGGAGCCA
RNAcentral lists this transfer RNA (74 nucleotides) under Pteropus alecto (black flying fox). It matches the Rfam family "tRNA". From Rfam's summary of the family: Transfer RNA (tRNA) molecules are approximately 80 nucleotides in length. The record is from Rfam by way of RNAcentral. Lineage: Eukaryota; Metazoa; Chordata; Mammalia; Chiroptera; Pteropodidae. RNAcentral also lists the same sequence under 1 other name.